Molecule: ribosomal RNA, 468 nt
Filed under: uncultured bacterium
Lineage: Bacteria
Description: partial 16S ribosomal RNA
Rfam family: Bacterial small subunit ribosomal RNA
Source: RNAcentral
GACGAACGCUGGCGGCGUGCUUAACACAUGCAGGUCGAACGGAAAGGCCCUGCUUUUGUGGGGUGCUCGAGUGGCGAACGGGUGAGUAACACGCGAGUAACCUGCCCUUGACUUUGGGAUAACUUCAGGAAACUGGGGCUAAUACCGGAUAGGAGCUCCUGCUGCAUGGUGGGGGUUGGAAAGUUUCGGCGGUUGGGGAUGGACUCGCGGCUUAUCAGCUUGUUGGUGGGGUAGUGGCUUACCAAGGCUUUGACGGGUAGCCGGCCUGAGAGGGUGACCGGCCACAUUGGGACUGGGAUACGGCCCAGACUCCUACGGGAGGCAGCAGUGGGGAAUAUUGCACAAUGGGCGGAAGCCUGAUGCAGCAACGCCGCGUGCGGGAUGACGGCCUUCGGGUUGUAAACGGCUUUCGCCUGUGACGAAGCGUGAGUGACGGUAAUGGGUAAAGAAGCACCGGCUAACUACGUG